ACCUGCGGAAGGAUCAUUAUUGAAAUAAAUCUGAUAAGUUGUUGCUGGCUCUCUAGGGAGCAUUGUGCAUACUUGUCGUUUUAUCAUUUCUUCACCUGUGCACCUCUUGUAGACUUUUGGAUAUCUUUCUGAUGCUUUUUUAAUGCACUCAGUUGUGAAGAUUGAUGGUUGUCUUUCUUUAUAUUUCCAAGUCUAUGUUCAUUAUAUUUUGACCCCGAUAUGUAUGGUGUAUAUGUAUAGGCAUAUGUAAAGCCUUUUUUAAAUACAACUUUCAGCAAUGGAUCUCUUGGCUCUCGCAUCGAUGAAGAACGCAGCGAAAUGCGAUAAGUAAUGUGAAUUGCAGAAUUCAGUGAAUCAUCGAAUCUUUGAACGCACCUUGCGCUCCUUGGUAUUCUGAGGAGCAUGCCUGUUUGAGUGUCAUUAAUAUAUCUCAACCUCACUUUGUUGAGUGCUUGGAUGUUGAGGGUUGCUGGGACUUGCAGGAUCCAGCUCCUUUAAAAUAUAUUAGAAGAACAAUUUGUGGACCUGUUCACUGGUGUGAUACAUUUAUCUGCACUAUUGAUGUGGUGAAACAAGUUCUAGUCUUUUGACAAAUUUUAUUAAUGUGACCUCAAAUCAGGUAGGACUACCCGCUGAACUUAAGCAUAUCAAUAAGCGGAGGAACAGAAACUAACAAGGAUUCCCCUAGUAACUGCGAGUGAAGCGGGAAAAGCUCAAAUUUAAAAUCUGGUAGUCUUUUGGCUGUCCGAGUUGUAAUCUA
RNAcentral lists this ribosomal RNA (760 nucleotides) under Cortinarius sp. 3A7. RNAcentral's name for it is "eukaryotic LSU rRNA". The stretch from base 267 to 420 matches the Rfam family "5.8S ribosomal RNA". Lineage: Eukaryota; Fungi; Basidiomycota; Agaricomycetes; Agaricales; Cortinariaceae. The record is from RNAcentral.